RNAcentral lists this ribosomal RNA (497 nucleotides) under uncultured bacterium. RNAcentral describes it as "partial 16S ribosomal RNA". It matches the Rfam family "Bacterial small subunit ribosomal RNA", at positions 28 to 507 of the family's 1533-position model. The record is from RNAcentral.
GACGAACGCUGGCGGCGUGCCUAAUACAUGCAAGUCGAGCGGACAGACGGGAGCUUGCUUCCUGAUGUUAGCGGCGGACGGGUGAGUAACACGUGGGUAACCUGCCUGUAAGACUGGGAUAACUCCGGGAAACAGGGGCUAAUACCGGAUGGUUGUCUGAACCGCAUGGUUCAGACAUAAAAGGUGGCUUCGGCUACCAAUUACAGAUGGACCCGUGGCGCAUUAGCUAGUUGGUGAGGUAACGGCUCAACAAGGCAACGAUGCGUAGGCGACCUGAGAGGGGGAUCGGCCACACUGGGACUGAGACACGGCCCAGACUCCUACGGGAGGCAGCAGGAGGGAAUCUUCCGCAAAGGACGAAAGUCUGACGGAGCAACGCCGCGUGAGUGAUGAAGGUUUUCGGAUCGUAAAGCUCUGUUGUUAAGGAAGAACAAGUGCCGUUCAAAUAGGGCGGCACCUUGACGGUACCUAACCAGAAAGCCACGGCUAACUACGUG